ACGUAGGGGGCGAGCGUUGUCCGGAAUCACUGGGCGUAAAGCGCACGUAGGCGGGCUAUCAAGUCGGCCGUGAAAGGCAUGGGCUCAACCUGUGCAUGUCGGUCGAUACUGGCGGUCUGGAGUAUGGGAGAGGGGACUGGCAUUCCCGGUGUAGGGGUGAAAUGCGUAGAUACCGGGGGGAACACCAGUGGCGAAGGCGUCUUCCUGGGCCAGGACUGACGCUGAGGUGCGAAAGCCGGGGGAGCGAACGG
RNAcentral lists this ribosomal RNA (251 nucleotides) under uncultured prokaryote. RNAcentral describes it as "partial 16S rRNA". It matches the Rfam family "Bacterial small subunit ribosomal RNA", at positions 525 to 775 of the family's 1533-position model. The record is from RNAcentral.